RNAcentral lists this ribosomal RNA (446 nucleotides) under uncultured organism. Its description in RNAcentral is "partial 16S ribosomal RNA". It matches the Rfam family "Bacterial small subunit ribosomal RNA", at positions 333 to 796 of the family's 1533-position model. The record is from RNAcentral.
ACACUCCUGCGGGAGGCAGCAGUGGGGAAUAUUGGACAAUGGGCGCAAGCCUGAUCCAGCCAUGCCGCGUGAGUGAUGAAGGCCCUAGGGUUGUAAAGCUCUUUCACCGGUGAAGAUAAUGACGGUAACCGGAGAAGAAGCCCCGGCUAACUUCGUGCCAGCAGCCGCGGUAAUACGAAGGGGGCUAGCGUUGUUCGGAUUUACUGGGCGUAAAGCGCACGUAGGCGGACUAUUAAGUCAGGGGUGAAAUCCCGGGGCUCAACCCCGGAACUGCCUUUGAUACUGGUAGUCUUGAGUUCGAGAGAGGGGAGUGGAAUUCCGAGUGUAGAGGUGAAAUUCGUAUAUAUUCGGAGGAACACCAGUGGCGAAGGCGGCUCACUGGCUCGAUACUGACGCUGAGGUGCGAAAGCGUGGGGAGCGAACAGGAUUAGAAACCCCUGUAGUCC